CCUACGGGAGGCAGCAGUGAGGAAUAUUGGUCAAUGGACGCAAGUCUGAACCAGCCAUGCCGCGUGCAGGAAGACGGCCCUAUGAGUUGUAAACUGCUUUUGUACGAGGGUAAACGCAGAGACGCGUAUCUGUCUGAAAGUAUCGUACGAAUAAGGAUCGGCCAACGCAGUGCCAGCAGACGCGGUAAUACGGAGGAUUCAAGCGUUAUCCGGAUUUAUUGGGGUUAAAGGGUGCGUAGGCGGUCGGAUAAGUUAGAGGUGAAAUCCCGGGGCUCAACUUCGGAAUUGCCUCUGAUACUGGUCGGCUAGAGUGUAGUAGAGGUAGGCGGAAUGUAUGGUGUAGCGGUGAAAUGCGUAGAGAUC
This 363-nucleotide ribosomal RNA is filed under the name uncultured bacterium. RNAcentral describes it as "partial 16S ribosomal RNA". It matches the Rfam family "Bacterial small subunit ribosomal RNA", at positions 338 to 698 of the family's 1533-position model. The record is from RNAcentral.